RNAcentral lists this ribosomal RNA (255 nucleotides) under uncultured bacterium. RNAcentral describes it as "partial 16S ribosomal RNA". It matches the Rfam family "Bacterial small subunit ribosomal RNA", at positions 99 to 354 of the family's 1533-position model. The record is from RNAcentral.
CGCACGGGUGAGUAACACGUAUCCAACCUGCCGUCUACUCUUGGACAGCCUACUGAAAGGAAGAUUAAUACAAGAUGGCAUCAUGAGUCCGCAUGUUCACAUGAUUAAAGGUAUUCCGGUAGACGAUGGGGAUGCGUUCCAUUAGAUAGUAGGCGGGGUAACGGCCCACCUAGUCUUCGAUGGAUAGGGGUUCUGAGAGGAAGGUCCCCCACAUUGGAACUGAGACACGGUCCAAACUCCUACGGGAGGCAGCAG